AUGGCAGCGCUAAGGUUUGCUACGAGGAAGAUGUGCGGUCGCGCCUUUGAGCGAACACCGGCGUUUUUUACGACGGCCGUCAAGGAGGAACAGAGGCGGGUGCUGCCAAGGUUUAGCCAUGGCGGGGGCUCACUUCGCCGGUUCACCUCCAGAUCCGGCCCCCCAAGCGAGCCCCCAAAAGAGCCCUUGCCGCAUGAUUCCACAGAGUUGAUCCGUAAUCUACACCCUGACACGCUAGUGAGGGUCCCUGUGUCAUUAGAUACAUGGUCACUCAACAACCCCUGGUUCUUAUCCAAUCUUGUUUUCUGUAUCGACUUUGUGCAAGUAUUCAUGCUCGUGUAUUGGAGGCACGGCAGGGCGACUUCUGAAUAUGGAGACCCCCUUUUCCCAUUCGUCCUUGUUUGUUUCAUCUUUGAUCCGAUUCGAAUCACCUAG
Molecule: ribosomal RNA, 435 nt
Filed under: Triticum aestivum (bread wheat)
Lineage: Eukaryota; Viridiplantae; Streptophyta; Magnoliopsida; Poales; Poaceae
Description: partial small subunit ribosomal RNA
Source: RNAcentral